RNAcentral lists this ribosomal RNA (465 nucleotides) under Vreelandella stevensii. Its description in RNAcentral is "partial 16S ribosomal RNA". It matches the Rfam family "Bacterial small subunit ribosomal RNA", at positions 338 to 795 of the family's 1533-position model. The record is from RNAcentral. Lineage: Bacteria; Pseudomonadati; Pseudomonadota; Gammaproteobacteria; Oceanospirillales; Halomonadaceae.
CCUACGGGGGGCAGCAGUGGGGAAUAUUGGACAAUGGGGGGAACCCUGAUCCAGCCAUGCCGCGUGUGUGAAGAAGGCCCUCGGGUUGUAAAGCACUUUCAGUGAGGAAGAACGCCUGGUGGUUAAUACCCAUCAGGAAAGACAUCACUCACAGAAGAAGCACCGGCUAACUCCGUGCCAGCAGCCGCGGUAAUACGGAGGGUGCGAGCGUUAAUCGGAAUUACUGGGCGUAAAGCGCGCGUAGGUGGCUUGAUAAGCCGGUUGUGAAAGCCCCGGGCUCAACCUGGGAACGGCAUCCGGAACUGUCAAGCUAGAGGGCAGGAGAGGAAGGUAGAAUUCCCGGUGUAGCGGUGAAAUGCGUAGAGAUCGGGAGGAAUACCAGUGGCGAAGGCGGCCUUCUGGACUGACACUGACACUGAGGUGCGAAAGCGUGGGUAGCAAACAGGAUUAGAUACCCCUGUAGUC